Molecule: ribosomal RNA, 407 nt
Filed under: uncultured bacterium
Lineage: Bacteria
Description: partial 16S ribosomal RNA
Rfam family: Bacterial small subunit ribosomal RNA
Source: RNAcentral
AUUGAACGCUGGCGGCAGGCCUAACACAUGCAAGUCGAGCGGAGCGGCGGACGGGUGAGUAUUGCUUAGGCAUGUGCCUGGUAGUGGUGGAUAACGUCCGGUAACGGGAGCUGAUACCGCAUACUAUCAGAUGAGCCUAGGUCGGAUUAGCUAGUUGGUGGGGUAAAGGCAUACCAAGGCGACGAUCCGUAACUGGUCUGAGAGGAUGAUCAGUCACACUGGAACUGAGACACGGUCCAGACUCCUACGGGAGGCAGCAGUGGGGAAUAUUGGACAAUGGGCGAAAGCCUGAUCCAGCCAUGCCGCGUGUGUGAAGAAGGUCUUCGGAUUGUAAAGUACUUUAAGUUGGGAGGCGUUACCAACAGAAUAAGCACCGGCUAACUUCGUGCCAGCAGCCGCGGUAAUUC